Molecule: ribosomal RNA, 2367 nt
Filed under: Escherichia coli
Lineage: Bacteria; Pseudomonadati; Pseudomonadota; Gammaproteobacteria; Enterobacterales; Enterobacteriaceae
Description: partial 23S ribosomal RNA
Rfam family: Bacterial large subunit ribosomal RNA
Source: RNAcentral
AGCCUCUUAAUGGGGUGACUGCGUACCUUUUGUAUAAUGGGUCAGCGACUUAUAUUCUGUAGCAAGGUUAACCGAAUAGGGGAGCCGAAGGGAAACCGAGUCUUAACUGGGCGUUAAGUUGCAGGGUAUAGACCCGAAACCCGGUGAUCUAGCCAUGGGCAGGUUGAAGGUUGGGUAACACUAACUGGAGGACCGAACCGACUAAUGUUGAAAAAUUAGCGGAUGACUUGUGGCUGGGGGUGAAAGGCCAAUCAAACCGGGAGAUAGCUGGUUCUCCCCGAAAGCUAUUUAGGUAGCGCCUCGUGAAUUCAUCUCCGGGGGUAGAGCACUGUUUCGGCAAGGGGGUCAUCCCGACUUACCAACCCGAUGCAAACUGCGAAUACCGGAGAAUGUUAUCACGGGAGACACACGGCGGGUGCUAACGUCCGUCGUGAAGAGGGAAACAACCCAGACCGCCAGCUAAGGUCCCAAAGUCAUGGUUAAGUGGGAAACGAUGUGGGAAGGCCCAGACAGCCAGGAUGUUGGCUUAGAAGCAGCCAUCAUUUAAAGAAAGCGUAAUAGCUCACUGGUCGAGUCGGCCUGCGCGGAAGAUGUAACGGGGCUAAACCAUGCACCGAAGCUGCGGCAGCGACACUAUGUGUUGUUGGGUAGGGGAGCGUUCUGUAAGCCUGUGAAGGUGUGCUGUGAGGUAUGCUGGAGGUAUCAGAAGUGCGAAUGCUGACAUAAGUAACGAUAAAGCGGGUGAAAAGCCCGCUCGCCGGAAGACCAAGGGUUCCUGUCCAACGUUAAUCGGGGCAGGGUGAGUCGACCCCUAAGGCGAGGCCGAAAGGCGUAGUCGAUGGGAAACAGGUUAAUAUUCCUGUACUUGGUGUUACUGCGAAGGGGGGACGGAGAAGGCUAUGUUGGCCGGGCGACGGUUGUCCCGGUUUAAGCGUGUAGGCUGGUUUUCCAGGCAAAUCCGGAAAAUCAAGGCUGAGGCGUGAUGACGAGGCACUACGGUGCUGAAGCGACAAAUGCCCUGCUUCCAGGAAAAGCCUCUAAGCAUCAGGUAACAUUAAAUCGUACCCCAAACCGACACAGGUGGUCAGGUAGAGAAUACCAAGGCGCUUGAGAGAACUCGGGUGAAGGAACUAGGCAAAAUGGUGCCGUAACUUCGGGAGAAGGCACGCUGAUAUGUAGGUGAAGCGACUUGCUCGUGGAGCUGAAAUCAGUCGAAGAUACCAGCUGGCUGCAACUGUUUAUUAAAAACACAGCACUGUGCAAACACGAAAGUGGACGUAUACGGUGUGACGCCUGCCCGGUGCCGGAAGGUUAAUUGAUGGGGUUAGCGGCAACGCGAAGCUCUUGAUCGAAGCCCCGGUAAACGGCGGCCGUAACUAUAACGGUCCUAAGGUAGCGAAAUUCCUUGUCGGGUAAGUUCCGACCUGCACGAAUGGCGUAAUGAUGGCCAGGCUGUCUCCACCCGAGACUCAGUGAAAUUGAACUCGCUGUGAAGAUGCAGUGUACCCGCGGCAAGACGGAAAGACCCCGUGAACCUUUACUAUAGCUUGACACUGAACAUUGAGCCUUGAUGUGUAGGAUAGGUGGGAGGCUUUGAAGUGUGGACGCCAGUCUGCAUGGAGCCGACCUUGAAAUACCACCCUUUAAUGUUUGAUGUUCUAACGUGGGCCCGUAAUCCGGGUUGCGGACAGUGUCUGGUGGGUAGUUUGACUGGGGCGGUCUCCUCCUAAAGAGUAACGGAGGAGCACGAAGGUUGGCUAAUCCUGGUCGGACAUCAGGAGGUUAGUGCAAUGGCAUAAGCCAGCUUGACUGCGAGCGUGACGGCGCGAGCAGGUGCGAAAGCAGGUCAUAGUGAUCCGGUGGUUCUGAAUGGAAGGGCCAUCGCUCAACGGAUAAAAGGUACUCCGGGGAUAACAGGCUGAUACCGCCCAAGAGUUCAUAUCGACGGCGGUGUUUGGCACCUCGAUGUCGGCUCAUCACAUCCUGGGGCUGAAGUAGGUCCCAAGGGUAUGGCUGUUCGCCAUUUAAAGUGGUACGCGAGCUGGGUUUAGAACGUCGUGAGACAGUUCGGUCCCUAUCUGCCGUGGGCGCUGGAGAACUGAGGGGGGCUGCUCCUAGUACGAGAGGACCGGAGUGGACGCAUCACUGGUGUUCGGGUUGUCAUGCCAAUGGCACUGCCCGGUAGCUAAAUGCGGAAGAGAUAAGUGCUGAAAGCAUCUAAGCACGAAACUUGCCCCGAGAUGAGUUCUCCCUGACCCUUUAAGGGUCCUGAAGGAACGUUGAAGACGACGACGUUGAUAGGCCGGGUGUGUAAGCGCAGCGAUGCGUUGAGCUAACCGGUACUAAUGAACCGUGAGGCUUAACCUU